ACGGCUUUGGGCUGGAUCCCGGGCAGCGCGAAGGGGCUCACAGGCACCCUCCAGGCGCUGUGCCCGUGUUGGGGACCCGGCAGCCCCGCGGGCUCCUCAUCCUCCUGCUCGUCCUCCGGCUGCAGCCGCCGGCCGGGUGGGCUCACCUGCGCACCCGCCGAGCCUCAGGUGCCCGCCAGCAUCGCUCCUGGGGUAAAAGCCAGAAGAUAGCCAGCCUGAACAGAAGAGUAGAAUGAGGUGCGGAGUGCAGGUGAAGCACAGAAAGGUGUCUCAUUUCUGCAUGUACAUCCUGCAGUGCUGAGCUCCCCUCCAGGGACCUGCUGGUUCUGCCAUGUGUGGAACUCACCUGCCUCAUAUGUCUCUGCUGACCCCUGUUCUACUCCUCAGACCACUUCAUGACCACUUGCACACUUGUGUCAGCCACAAAGUGGAUAAUACACAGAAAGCCUUGCUGCACAUUGAUUUGCUGUAUGGCAGCAGCAUUACAGGAGUUGAUUUGUUUCAGCUUAUCAGUGAAGAAAUCCUAUAAAUCACUGGCUGAGGAUAAAAAAGAGCAUAAAGAAGAAAUAAUUGUAUAGGGUAAAAAAGUGUGCAGAGCAAACCCUUACUUUGCAAAAGUAUGGUAACACUUUGACCUAUAGUGAGCUGGUUAGGUGUAAAAGAACCUGGGGAAAACUGGCCUUACAUAUUUAUGACUUGAGAAAACACUGGCUCUCCCAGUGAAUAUAAAUGUGAAUGUAAGUCAGAACCUUAAGUUCCAUUAUGUUUAAUCCAUUUUCGCUUCAAGGCAGGGUCUUUUUUAAAUGUUGGCCACAACAGACAAUUCUAUCUAUAACUUCUUGCAGAUCUAAAGAAUAAAAAGCUUUCAGAAAAACAACUGAAAACCCCUAGCAAACUGAUAAAUGUCCAGUCCUAAAUUAAUGCCUAGCGCAGUAUUUUAGACUAAAGAAGGAAAAAGCACCCUAAUGUUUUCCAAACUUGUUCUCAGCCGUCAUCUAAAACUUUUGUAUAAGUUCUGUGCAUAGUUUGCCAGAUGGCAAGAGUUGAUUGUAAUUUAAUUGUGAAAUGUAAAAACUGUCUAGAAAAUUUUCCACUUCUUGCAAUAUUGUUCUCAUCCAGGUAGGGCCAGAUCCCUCAAACUCAGCUCUUCCCUCAGGAAGGAGAAAGAAAAUAGAGAAAUUUCUUCCUCUAUUGUACUGUACUCUUUAGUCAUCAAAGCAAUGCUGUAAUACAAAUUCAUAGUGAUUUUAGACCCUGUACCUCUUCAUGUUCCU
This is a long non-coding RNA of Zonotrichia leucophrys gambelii, 1274 nucleotides long. RefSeq lists it as uncharacterized. The record is from RefSeq and is a predicted model, not a curated record. Lineage: Eukaryota; Metazoa; Chordata; Aves; Passeriformes; Passerellidae. The transcript is spliced from 3 exons.